AAAGUACUUCUAUCCAUCUAUAAUUAAACAUAUCUUUUCUCAGGACACAUCAACAUGAUUGUUUAUGAUAAACUACAAUAUUAUAUUUGUCACACGAUUCUAAACUAUGACUUAAUAUGACUCUAAAUCCAGCCAUUCUACAUCAAGUCACCUUUUCACUGCAGGACUUUUACUGUGUGCUUUACUGGGAGCUAACCUGACUCUCGCGCUCACCAACAGCACUGUCUACUAACAGUAUUUACUCACCAACGCUGACGGGAUAGCACAAUGUGCAGGCUGUUAGCAGUGAAGGUAAAACGCCAACAAGUGUUUCCACACCGGCGCCAUCACGCUGCUUCUCUGCCAGGUGUUGCACGAUGAUACUUCCGGGGUGUGUCCUGCAGAGAGGCUGCAGAGGCUGAAUGCAUCACGUGCUCUGCAGACAGCAUGUUAGUAAACCGUCAGUUAAUCAAACUCUGCAGCAAAAUGUGUCUUCAAACUGGAUAAAGUCAAUGUAUGAUAUAUUCUUGCAAUCCCAAACCAAUCCCAAACAUGGAGAAGCGUACGGACAGCAGAGCGUCAUACCUCAUGAAUGAAUUGAAUUGUUGUUGUUAGCAUCUGGAGCUAGCUGCGCUAACGGAUAUCAGGAUCUGUCUCUAGAACAAGGUCGAGGAGAGUCCUCUCCUGUCAGACUGAGAGGCUCAGAUAACUACAGCUCAGUGAGGAGGGCUAGGACAUCUGACAUCAAUGAAGACGGAGGCUUCUUGAGUUUCUGAAAAACUUAAGGUGCUGUGCUCUGACUUUUUUCUGAUGUCUUCAACAUACUAUACUAUGUCGUUGUUUCUGACAUUUUCAAUAGACUGUACUGACGUUAUGGUGCCUUUUUGUUCUUUACUCCCCACCUGAGUCCAAGGACAUCUGCUGGAGGAGUCCAAGGACAUCUGCUGGAGGAGUCCGAGGACAUCUGCUGGAAGAGUCCAAGAUUAUCUGCUGGAGGAGUCCAAGGACAUCUGCUGGAGGAGUCCAAAGACAUCUGCUUGAGGAGUCCAAGGACAUCUGCUGGAGGAGUCCAAGAAUAUCUGCUGGAGGAGUCCGAGGACAUCUGCUGGAGGAGUCCAAGGACAUCUGCUGGAGGAGUCCAAGGACAUCUGCUGGAGGAGUGCAAGGACAUCUGCUGGAGGACUCCAAGAAUAUCUGCUGGAGGAGUCUAAGGACAUCAAUGAAGACGUCGUCUUCUUGAGUUUCUGGAAAACUUAAGCAGUGCAGCGAGCCCCCCCCCCACACCAGCCACGGCAUCAAUGAAGACCAUGGCGUCCUAAGCUUCUGACAAACAUGAGGACAUUUCUGAUUUUAUGUAAAUAUAUGUAUAUUGUAUGUAUUAGUACUAGUAUUUAUAUUAGUAGUAUCAGUAUUAGUAUUAUUUAGCAGACUGGGGCCCCCCCCGCUGCCCGGGCAGGCCCCCCGCUGCCGGGCCAUCAUACCCCUCCCCCCCUGCUGCCCGGGCAGCCUCUCCCCACCCCGGCCCGGGAAGGCCCCCCGCUGCCGGGCCAGCCUCUCUCCCCUGGCUAGCCACGGCUAGCCACCCGGCUAGCCACCCGCCCCAGAGUUAGCAUACUUAGCAUACUUAGCACACUUAGCACGCUAAGUAUGCUAAGUAUAGGGGACUUUGCUGC
This is a long non-coding RNA of Eleginops maclovinus (Patagonian blennie), 1652 nucleotides long. RefSeq lists it as uncharacterized. The record is from RefSeq and is a predicted model, not a curated record. The transcript has 3 exons. NCBI's taxonomy places the organism in Eukaryota, Metazoa, Chordata, Actinopteri, Perciformes, Eleginopidae.